This 329-nucleotide unclassified non-coding RNA is filed under the name soil metagenome. Its description in RNAcentral is "partial contains 5.8S ribosomal RNA, internal transcribed spacer 2, and large subunit ribosomal RNA". The stretch from base 1 to 120 matches the Rfam family "5.8S ribosomal RNA", at positions 35 to 154 of the family's 154-position model. The record is from RNAcentral.
GAUGAAGAACGUAGCGAAAUGCGAUAAGUAAUGUGAAUUGCAGAAUUCAGUGAAUCAUCGAAUCUUUGAACGCACAUUGCGCCCCUUGGUAUUCCGAGGGGCAUGCCUGUUCGAGCGUCAAUAUAACCCCUCAAGCUCAGCUUGGUGUUGGGGCCUGCUGCACUGGCAGCCCUUAAAAUCAGUGGCGGCGCCAUCUGGCUCUAAGCGUAGUAAUUCUUCUCGCUAUGGAGUCCUGGUGGAUGCUUGCCAUCAACCCCCAAUUUUUCUAUGGUUGACCUCGGAUCAGGUAGGGAUACCCGCUGAACUUAAGCAUAUCAAUAAGCGGAGGA